Molecule: ribosomal RNA, 313 nt
Filed under: uncultured fungus
Lineage: Eukaryota; Fungi
Description: SSU rRNA
Rfam family: Eukaryotic small subunit ribosomal RNA
Source: RNAcentral
UAACCUGCUAAAUAGCCAGGCUAUCUUUUGAUGGUCGCCGGCUUCUUAGAGGGACUAUCGGCUCAAGCCGAUGGAAGUUUGAGGCAAUAACAGGUCUGUGAUGCCCUUAGAUGUUCUGGGCCGCACGCGCGCUACACUGACAGAGCCAACGAGUAUAAACCUUAACCGAAAGGUUUGGGUAAUCUUGUUAAACUCUGUCGUGCUGGGGAUAGGGCAUUGCAAUUAUUGCCCUUCAACGAGGAAUAUCUAGUAAGCGCAAGUCAUCAGCUUGCGUUGAUUACGUCCCUGCCCUUUGUACACACCGCCCGUCGCU